UACAGAGGUCCCAAGCGUUGUUCGGAUUCACUGGGCGUAAAGGGUGCGUAGGCGGUCGGGUAAGUCUGGCGUGAAAUCUCCAAGCCUAACUUGGAAACUGCGUUGGAUACUAUCCGGCUCGAGGAAUGGAGGGGAGACUGGAAUACUUGGUGUAGCAGUGAAAUGCGUAGAUAUCAAGUGGAACACCAGUGGCGAAGGCAGGUGACUAAGCCGCAACUGACGCUGAUGCACGAAAGCGUGGGGAUCAAACAGG
Molecule: ribosomal RNA, 253 nt
Filed under: uncultured bacterium
Lineage: Bacteria
Description: partial 16S ribosomal RNA
Rfam family: Bacterial small subunit ribosomal RNA
Source: RNAcentral